GACGAACGCUGGCGGCGUGCUUAACACAUUCAAGUCGAACGGAAAGGCCCUGCUUUUGUGGGGUGCUCGAGUGGCGAACGGGUGAGUAACACGUGAGUAACCUGCCCUUGACUUUGGGAUAACUUCAUGAAACUGGGGCUAAUACCGGAUAGGAGCUCCUGCUGCAUGGUGGGGGUUGGAAAGUUUCGGCGGUUGGGGAUGGACUCGCGGCUUAUCAGCUUGUUGGUGGGGUAGCGGCUUACCAAGGCUUUGACGGGUAGCCGGCCUGAGAGGGUGACCGGCCACAUUGGGACUGAGAUACGGCCCAGACUCCUACGGGAGGCAGCAGUGGGGAAUAUUGCACAAUGGGCGGAAGCCUGAUGCAGCAACGCCGCGUGCGGGAUGACGGCCUUCGGGUUGUAAACCGCUUUCGCCUGUGACGAAGCGUGAGUGACGGUAAUGGGUAAAGAAGCACCGGCUAACUACGUG
RNAcentral lists this ribosomal RNA (468 nucleotides) under uncultured bacterium. Its description in RNAcentral is "partial 16S ribosomal RNA". It matches the Rfam family "Bacterial small subunit ribosomal RNA", at positions 28 to 507 of the family's 1533-position model. The record is from RNAcentral.